Molecule: long non-coding RNA, 218 nt
Organism: Arabidopsis thaliana (thale cress)
Lineage: Eukaryota; Viridiplantae; Streptophyta; Magnoliopsida; Brassicales; Brassicaceae
Product: other RNA
Exons: 1
Source: RefSeq
AAGAGGAAGGAAAUAUCGGCACCGUCAUGUGUAUAAUAGACCUGACCGCACACGUGUGGGUUUUUGUACUUGUCAUAAGUUUUGCUUUUUUAUUUUUGUUUGCUUAAAAUGGUGUUUAAAUAAAAUAAAAGAAAGGAAGUCGAAUCUGUAAUAUAAAAGUGAAGUCAGGGGCAAAUGUAAUGGAUUUUGCUAAGAUCUUCUUGUCUGUCUUCUUCAAA